Molecule: ribosomal RNA, 465 nt
Filed under: uncultured bacterium
Lineage: Bacteria
Description: partial 16S ribosomal RNA
Rfam family: Bacterial small subunit ribosomal RNA
Source: RNAcentral
GACGAACGCUGGCGGCGUGCUUAACACAUGCAAGUCGAACGCUGAACCCGCUUCGGUGGGGGAUGAGUGGCGAACGGGUGAGUAACACGUGGGCAACCUGCCCCCGGCUCUGGGAUAACUCCAAGAAAUUGGGGCUAAUACCGGAUGUGACCGCUGGCCGCAUGGUCUGGUGGUGGAAAGGGUUUCCGGCUGGGGAUGGGCCCGCGGCCUAUCAGCUUGUUGGUGGGGUAGUGGCCUACCAAGGCGACGACGGGUAGCCGGCCUGAGAGGGUGACCGGCCACACUGGGACUGAGACACGGCCCAGACUCCUACGGGAGGCAGCAGUGGGGGAUAUUGCGCAAUGGGCGGAAGCCUGACGCAGCGACGCCGCGUGGGGGAUGACGGCCUUCGGGUUGUAAACCUCUUUCAGCAGGGACGAAGCGCAAGUGACGGUACCUGCAGAAGAAGCACCGGCCAACUACGUG